Molecule: ribosomal RNA, 456 nt
Filed under: uncultured Verrucomicrobiaceae bacterium
Lineage: Bacteria; Pseudomonadati; Verrucomicrobiota; Verrucomicrobiia; Verrucomicrobiales; Verrucomicrobiaceae
Description: bacterial SSU rRNA
Rfam family: Bacterial small subunit ribosomal RNA
Source: RNAcentral
AAGCGGUGGAGCAUGUGGUUUAAUCGAUGAUACGCGAAGAACCUUACCGGGGUUUGACAUGCAGGUGAUCGCCGUUGAAAGACGGUUUCCUCUUCGGAGGCACCUGCACAGGUGCUACAUGGCUGUCGUCAGCUCGUGUCGUGAGAUGUUGGGUUAAGUCCCGCAACGAGCGCAACCCUUGUGACUAGUUGCCAGCACGUAAUGGUGGGAACUCUAGUCAGACUGCCCAGAUCAACUGGGAGGAAGGUGGGGACGACGUCAGGUCAGUAUGGCCCUUACGCCUUGGGCUGCACACGUACUACAAUGCCCAGUACAAUGAGAACCGAUACCGCGAGGUGGAGGAAAUCUGUAAAACUGGGCCCAGUUCGGAUUGGAGGCUGCAACUCGCCUCCAUGAAGUUGGAAUCGCUAGUAAUGGCGCAUCAUCUACGGCGCCGUGAAUACGUUCCCGGGUCUU